This is a long non-coding RNA of Culex quinquefasciatus (southern house mosquito), 878 nucleotides long. RefSeq lists it as uncharacterized. The transcript has 3 exons. NCBI's taxonomy places the organism in Eukaryota, Metazoa, Arthropoda, Insecta, Diptera, Culicidae. The record is from RefSeq and is a predicted model, not a curated record.
GGACUGUUGUCCUCGGAGGAGUGAAAAGUACGACGCCAACAUGCCGGUCAAGCUGGACAACUUGGACUACAAAAUUAAACCAAAUGCCGCCGGCCUUCUAAAGGUCGAGGUCAAGGUCGAACUGCUCAAACAGGAACCGGAACUGUCAACAGCUAGAUGAUCAGCUCGGACAAGAACAACUAUUGCGUGGGGCACGUUCUGGACUCGGGCGAGAUUCCGGAUGCGCUCAAAGCAGCUCGUUCCCGUUCGGCAUCUUUGACCACUUUGACACAUUCUACUCCACGAUCGACCAUGCGGGCCAACCGGCCAGCUGUCGGGUACGACCCUGUUGCGCGCGAAGAAGGUUUCAGAUGAGCUGGUUCAGUCGGAACUACCGCAGGCGGACCGGGUGGUGGUGAGGUGGAGGACUGGGCCAACAAGCGGAACCGGUAUAUCAUGUAGCUGUACGAUCUGUUUCAACUGCCGCCUCGGCUUACUUGUUUGAGAUCAAGGGAACCGAAAGUGGAAUGCAGCAGAAUGAGCAGUUCCAGUGCAGUGGGAACGAACCGUACGACGCGCUGACGCGGAAGGACUUGGUGCAGCAUUUACGCGGGUCACGUCAGGCUGGACUUGCCCAAAGAGAGAGAGAGAGUUUGUACCUGAAGCCUGCUUUGAUCUGAACCUGAAUUUCGUUAAGUGCAAGACCAUCAGGGACGACACGCUCUCAUCAACCAGCGGUCCCACUUUUAUCUAAACUCGAAGCUUCCGAACUACUAAUAACCGGCAUGGUACAGCUGCGCCGUUUCCUAUCGCAAGCGAUUUCAAGUCAAGGAUGGAGCUGGCAUCGAAAAUGCAACCGUUGCGCUGGAUGGGGCGUACGACAUUGAUCAACCUCCUGC